This 429-nucleotide ribosomal RNA is filed under the name Chloroflexota bacterium. Its description in RNAcentral is "Chloroflexi bacterium partial 16S ribosomal RNA". It matches the Rfam family "Bacterial small subunit ribosomal RNA", at positions 355 to 776 of the family's 1533-position model. Lineage: Bacteria; Bacillati; Chloroflexota. The record is from RNAcentral.
UGGGGAAUAUUGCACAAUGGGCGCAAGCCUGAUGCAGCCAUGCCGCGUGUAUGAAGAAGGCCUUCGGGUUGUAAAGUACUUUCAGCGGGGAGGAAGGGAGUAAAGUUAAUACCUUUGCGCAUUGACGUUACCCGCAGAAGAAGCACCGGCUAACUCCGUGCCAGCAGCCGCGGUAAUACGGAGGGUGCAAGCGUUAAUCGGAAUUACUGGGCGUAAAGCGCACGCAGGCGGUUUGUUAAGGCAGAUGUGAAAUCCCCGGGCUCAACCUGGGAACUGCCUCUGAUACUGGCAAGCUUGAGUCUCGUAGAGGGGGGUAGAAUUCCAGGUGUAGCGUUGAAAUGCGUAAAGAUCUGGAGGAAUCCCGGUGGCGAAGGCGGCCCCCUGGACAAAGACUGACUCUCAGGUGCGAAAGCGUGGGGAGCAAACGGG